GGAUCGAUGAUGACUCCCUCAUAUGCAUUCCUUGGAAAUCUGAACAAAAUGAGUGAGAACUCACUACCGUCGUUCUCAUCGGAACUGAGGUCC
This is a small nucleolar RNA of Vicugna pacos (alpaca), 93 nucleotides long. Its record names the gene SNORD116. It matches the Rfam family "Small nucleolar RNA SNORD116". Rfam says of the family: HBII-85 is a member of the C/D class of snoRNAs, which contain the C (UGAUGA) and D (CUGA) box motifs. Lineage: Eukaryota; Metazoa; Chordata; Mammalia; Artiodactyla; Camelidae. The record is from Ensembl.